RNAcentral lists this long non-coding RNA (640 nucleotides) under Homo sapiens (human). RNAcentral's name for it is "PREDICTED lncRNA (TCONS_00200908)". Lineage: Eukaryota; Metazoa; Chordata; Mammalia; Primates; Hominidae. The record is from RNAcentral.
AGUGAAGUAACUGACUGGACAUCCCAAAGUUAGGUGGUCCUGAGAGCCAGGUGCUGACAGCUGCCUCACCUUAAGAGUCUCCUUUCGUUAUGGCAUCUGGAAAGAUCUCACAUGGCAGGCCUGCUUCUAGUUCCUUCUUCCUAGUGUGUCUGAGGAAAUCCAAUCUCUCCCACUCCAGCCCGCCUACUCAUUGAACAUGGCUGCUAUCUCUGUCUUCUGGAAACACGGCUCCAAUCCUGCAACAACUCUAUACAAGAGCUCCCAGUGAAAGCUUUCACUAGACCUUGAUGGCACUAUGGUCAUUAUCUUGUCAAAACUGUGGUGGAUUUGAAGAGCUAGUGAUGAAGAAUGGAGGUUUCCUGUCCUAGAAAUAACCAAAGGCCCAGGCUUGGAGGUGGCAGAAAAAGUGGCACUUAAGUUACUAGCCCAGUAUUUGGAAUUUGCCAAAGCUAUAUUCCUCAGAAUUUACUUCAAGAGCUCCUUUGUAUCGGCGGAGAAUGAAGAACGGAGAAGAGGAGGAGGAGGUUGAAAGAAACUUAAGAGAUGUGGCAACUAAUUGCAACGUGUAGAUUGUAUUUAGCUCAUGAUUCACACAAACUAGAUAUUUGUUAUUAAAGAAUUAUGGUUGUUUUUGGUGUGA